GAUGAACGCUGGCGGCGUGCCUAAUACAUGCAAGUCGAGCGAACAGAUGCUGUUCUUUCUCCUCUGACGUUAGCGGCGGACGGGUGAGUAACACGUGGUUACCCUACCUAUAAUACUGGGAUAACUUCGGGAAACCGGAGCUAAUACCGGAUAAUAUAUUGAACCGCAUGGUUCAAUAGUGAAAGACGUUUUUUCUGUCUCUUUUAGAUGGAUCCGCGCCGCAUUAGCUAGUUGGUAAGGUAACGGCUUACCAAGGCAACGAUGCGUAGCCGACCUGAGAGGGUGAUCGGCCACACUGGAACUGAGACACGGUCCAGACUCCUACGGGAGGCAGCAGUAGGGAAUGUUCCGCAAUGGGCGAAAGCCUGACGGAGCAACGCCGCGUGAGUGAUGAAGGUCUUCGGAUCGUAAAACUCUGUUAUUAGGGAAGAAAAAAUGUGAAAGUAACUAUGCAGGUCUUGACGGUACCUAAACAGAAAGCCACGGCUAACUACGUG
RNAcentral lists this ribosomal RNA (497 nucleotides) under uncultured bacterium. Its description in RNAcentral is "partial 16S ribosomal RNA". It matches the Rfam family "Bacterial small subunit ribosomal RNA", at positions 28 to 507 of the family's 1533-position model. The record is from RNAcentral.